GAUGAACGCUGGCGGCGUGCCUAAUACAUGCAAGUCGAGCGAACAGACGAGGAGCUUGCUCCUCUGACGUUAGCGGCGGACGGGUGAGUAACACGUGGAUAACCUACCUAUAAGACUGGGAUAACUUCGGGAAACCGGAGCUAAUACCGGAUAAUAUAUUGAACCGCAUGGUUCAAUAGUGAAAGACGGUUUUGCUGUCACUUAUAGAUUGAUCCGCGCCGCAUUAGAUAGUUGGUAAGGUAACGGCUUACCAAGGCGACGAUGCGUAGCCGAACUGAGAUGGUGAUCGGCCACACUGGAACUGAGACACGGUCCAGACUCCUACGGGAGGCACCAGUAGGGAAUCUUCCGCAAUGGGCGAAAGCCUGACGGAGCAACGCCGCGUGAGUGAUGAAGGUCUUCGGAUCGUAAAACUCUGUUAUUAGGGAAGAACAAAUGUGUAAGUAACUAUGCACGUCUUGACGGUACCUAAUCAGAAAGCCACGGCUAACUACGUG
Molecule: ribosomal RNA, 497 nt
Filed under: uncultured bacterium
Lineage: Bacteria
Description: partial 16S ribosomal RNA
Rfam family: Bacterial small subunit ribosomal RNA
Source: RNAcentral